Molecule: ribosomal RNA, 477 nt
Filed under: uncultured organism
Description: partial 16S ribosomal RNA
Rfam family: Bacterial small subunit ribosomal RNA
Source: RNAcentral
GUACACUCCUACGGGAGGCAGCAGUGGGGAAUUUUGGACAAUGGGCGAAAGCCUGAUCCAGCAAUGCCGCGUGUGUGAAGAAGGCCUUCGGGUUGUAAAGCACUUUUGUCCGGAAAGAAAUCCUUGGCUCUAAUACAGUCGGGGGAUGACGGUACCGGAAGAAUAAGCACCGGCUACUACGUGCCAGCAGCCGCGGUAAUACGUAGGGUGCGAGCGUUAAUCGGAAUUACUGGGCGUAAAGCGUGCGCAGGCGGUUUGCUAAGACCGAUGUGAAAUCCCCGGGCUCAACCUGGGAACUGCAUUGGUGACUGGCAGGCUAGAGUAUGGCAGAGGGGGGUAGAAUUCCACGUGUAGCAGUGAAAUGCGUAGAGAUGUGGAGGAAUACCGAUGGCGAAGGCAGCCCCCUGGGCCAAUACUGACGCUCAUGCACGAAAGCGUGGGGAGCAAACAGGAUUAGAUACCCCUGUAGUCCCAUGA